GGUGGGGGGAGGCGGGUGUCAGACCCAGCAGUGCCGCAGCCUCCAGUGGGACAGACACUCAGCUCCAGCCCAUGGCUGCCAGAGAAGAAAACUGAGGCUCAGACAGGUUAAGUGUCUUGCUCAUGACCACUCAGGCAUCAGCGGCAGAGCUGGAGUUCCAGCCCAAGUUCUAACUCUUCCUUCCACAUUCUAUUCCCUAUCUCUUGCACUAGAACCUCAAAGAGAGGACUGAAAUAUGGGUGGCUUGGGAGUAUUGAUGGAGACAAUGAGGGGUGCCGAAGCCACCGUGGAGAACCAGUGCCUCUCAUCUCCAGUCUAUGACUGGCUGGAAUGAGGAGGUCAAUCUGCAGCUUUGGACAGAGUCUCCUUCUGUGCAGAACUAAAUGGCCCACAUCAUCAUCAAAUAAACAACUCCAACAUCACCAGUACUGCAGUCCAGACACCCCAGAUGGUAGCUUAAUCGCCUGAAAGAAUUAAUAGUGCACCUCUAAGCACAUUAUUCACCCGGAGAAUAGUAUAGGCAAUGGAAAGAAUCUGGCCCAUUAUAUCCCACACCAUUGUUAAAUAAUAUGCAAUCACAGAGAUGAAGCACGGCAUAUGGUGAUCGCUCCACUAUAUUGAGAUUCAUUGUAAUA
Non-coding RNA from Kogia breviceps (pygmy sperm whale), 635 nucleotides. The record is from RefSeq and is a predicted model, not a curated record. Lineage: Eukaryota; Metazoa; Chordata; Mammalia; Artiodactyla; Physeteridae.